This is a long non-coding RNA of Arachis stenosperma, 3363 nucleotides long. RefSeq lists it as uncharacterized. The record is from RefSeq and is a predicted model, not a curated record. Lineage: Eukaryota; Viridiplantae; Streptophyta; Magnoliopsida; Fabales; Fabaceae. The transcript is spliced from 6 exons.
CUAUGAAAGAUAGAAGUCCCCGAAGUCUUACUAUGUGCUGGUCAUGGAUGGAAAUUUCAACACCUAAUUAAAUACCUGGUAGUUCAACACCCACUCUUUUCUGCCACCGGUCCAUGAAGAAGAAGAAAAGCAGCAGUAAUUUUCUCCCUAAAUUUUUAGGUACCCUUUUUAUCCAGGUAAUAAAGAGAGGGGUGUUUUAGCUAGCAGAUUGAAAAAAGAUGUUGGUGCAGGCGUGCAGCAAUUCCCCAAAUUUGAUUUUAGAAGGAAAGGUUUCUGCAGCUGAUGACGGCAGCGUAGCUGGUGGCGACAGAUGGGGUGCUGUUCAGUUUCCAAUCAGGAGCAUGAAGAAGCAGAUGAAUCCUUUCUUUGCCUCCACUGGGCAGCAGUGGAAGGAGCAGAAGCUCGCCGAAAAACCCGCAAGCAACGAACAAAGCACAGAGCAGAGAUGAAAGAACUUAUGUUCCUGGACUGAAGCGUUGGGUUAAUAGGGUUACGGGUUGACAUGAUAGUUUGAUGUGACGAUCGUUCUUGAUGCCACAUUUAAUUAGCUGCCGAUAUCCAAGGUGGAUAUAGCUUCAAUUCAUGGCUUGGGAUCUCUGGGGUUCUUCAUACGACCAAGUUUUCUGCAAAGAUAAUUGCUUGAUCAUCCUGAGUGGCCAUAUGGCUUCUUCUUUGGCUGUGACCCUGAUGUGAUAGAGAAAGAUGCCUUGAAUGAGGAGUACUGUGUUCAGGUUUUAAGGAUUUUGAUCACCAAGGCAGAUACCGAAAUCAAGGAACUUGAAAAGGAUCUAUGGUCCCCUUCAAAAUGAAUUGGCCUGCGCUGAGCAUGAGAAAUGGCCUGAAAUAUGUUGCAGUGCUUUGACCGAAAGAAUCAAUUGGCUGGAUGUUGCAAUUAGUGCUUUGAAGAAAGAUCAUGCUGAUGAAAUAGAGACAGGGCUGCUAUUACACUGUAAGCCUGCUGAGACACUUAAUGAGAUAGUGAAGGCUUUACAAAGGGAUCAUUGACAAGAUGAAAACAGCCAGGUUGGAGAUUUAGGAUAUGCAUCAGAGGUUGGAAACUAUGAUGUGUAUUUAGGAGCUCCAAAUGAGGUGUUAUUUGUAAUUGAUGUUAAUAUCAUAAUUCCUUCACGUUCCAAGUAAACUUUUUUUGUGAAUCUAAUUAUAGCUUUCUCAUGUAUAGGGAUCAGGUCAAGCGACAACAGUUGGUUUAGGAAUUGAACCCUUUGUAAAAUUUGGUCUGUUUUCUAUUUUUUUUUGGAGAACUUUGAAAGGAUCAUUGUUUAGUGGGUUAAACUCCAUAUCAUACCUAUUCAUCAUAGUUGACAAAUGCAUUAAACAUGUAUUCUAAAUCUAUAUACAUACCAUAGAAUGAUUAUAUCUUGGUAAAUUAUAUUUCAAAACAGUUUAAAUGUUAAUUAUGUCUUAUAUGUCUUAAAUAGUUAAAUUGAAUGAUGACAUUAAAUUAUGCAAGGGGAUUUGUUUUGCUGCCUUGCUUUCAUAUGCUUUGGGUUGUUUUCAUUAGGUGUUUUUGCUAUUUGAAGCUCUGCUACUUUAGUUUUAUAUGUUGUUAUCACAGUAUUAUGUUGUUGUUAUUGGUGAUUACAUGUGAUGUCUAAUGCUUUUCUUUGUGUCGUGCAAGAAGGUCAGGGUGUUGUCCCAAAGGUUGCACCAUGAGGUCGCUGUUUUGAAAUUGAAGAAAGGGGGUAUUAACUGGCUCGGUUAAUUUUUAACCUAUGUUGCUGUUGGGUUUGGUGACUGAUGAAGCUUGGUAUGAAGAAGUUUCUUCAUUCACUUUCUCUAUAGGUUAAUUAAUUAUUAUUUACAUUGUUUAUUGUUCUGGAGUUUCAUAGUUGCAAUGGCAAGAAAUAGCCAUUUUAUUUAGAGCUUACAAGGUGCCAGAUUUACAUAUCUGUGUCAUGCAUUAUAUCCUUCAAUAAUUGUUUGCUUGCAAUAUAUUUUCUAAGUCAACUCACGAAACAUUGGCAUCAAACCUUUAUCGGAAAAAGGUACUCUUCAACUAUCUUUUCACCAAAUAAUUAUGACUUUCUUGAUUUAGUUUGUAGUAUUCUUCCAUUUUGUUUCAAAAUAUAUUUCAACAAUCAGUUCUGGUUUUCUGUUUGUAAUAACAAGUUGAAAGAAUUGUUGAUCAUUUGAUAGGAGACAAUAAAAACAGGUUGCUUUUCUGUUGGGUAAGUAUUGUUAAGUAACAAGUGUGAAGGAUAGUUAGUCUUAUAUUAAAUGAAAGAAUCCUGCUAGGGAGCCAAUGGAGUAUCUGUACUAAACAUCUGAUAUCCUAUUGAAUCGAACGUCUCAAAAGUCUAAACCCCAUUGUACACAUUGUACAUAUACUCUAUUGGCUCCCUAUACUUCCUCUAAAUGAAAUAAUGUGUGAGAGUUUAUGAAAUGAGAAAUUUAUCUAUUUAGUGCGAUAAGCUUUUUAAGUUGGUGUGGUAUAUUCUGUCACUUGAUUCUUAUACAAGUGAUUGACUAUUUUAUUCUUUUGUUGGUAUUGUAAUAUGAUUGCUAAAAUAUUACUCUUAUAUAUUUUUAUUUUUUUGAUACAAACAAUAAAUGUACUGUUUUGCUCCUCUCAUAAUCUUUGUCAUGAGACGGAUAAAAUUUUUUUAUUUGUUUUAAUUUAAACCUUUUCUCUGUGGCCAUAGGAAAACAACUUGGUGACAUUGAUUAUUGGAAUAAACCAUGUUCUUCGUGCUUUUGAUCUAUAUUUAUUUAUAUACAAAAUGAGUAUCAUUGCACCAAAAUAAGUUUCAAUACUUUUAAAGUAAACUCUAAGUUUGUGAAAUUUAAGGAUUUGAGAAUGCACUGAAAGAUGAAGCUGCAAUUUUGAUCGGCAAGACACUGGAAGAGAGUCACGGCACUUGAAGUUGAUUUCAGCACAAAUUCAAUUACUAGGUCCAGAAUUCGAGCUUUGGCUGAAGUUGUUGUGCAAAAACCUAGAUUUAAGUUGCUAAACAUUAAUGCUAACUUCAUAUCUGACGAAGGGAUAGAAAACUUGAAGGAUAUAUUUAAAAAUUCACCUGAUAUGCUGGAUAUGUACUUUAGAUGAGAUCUUGAAGGAGAAGACAUUCAUGAGGAUUCUUAAGAAAAUGAUGACCCCAAUGAACUGGAAUCAAAACUCAAGGGCCUUGAUAUUUAGGAAGAUUUAUAGGACAUAGGCAUCCAUCUUUUAUAUUAAAUUAAUUUGUAGUCAUCAUCUAUUGUAUUUUAGAAUUCUGAAUUCCAUAUUUCCAUGUCUCAACAUUUUUAAAGCUUACCAGUUAUAUCCAUAUGUCUGGCAAGACGAGAAAUGGUAUUAACUUUAUAAUCUUUUGAGCUCAAUUAUGUUUUUUUGUGGCUGUUCUU